AUUCCAGCUCCAGUAGUGUAUAUUAAAGUUGUUGCAGUUAAAAAGCUCGUAGUUGGAUUUCUGACUUCAAAUACCUGACCCUCCCUCGCUAGAGGUGUGUGUGCCGGAGUAUUUGUAUCAUCCUUUCAGUGAUCGGCUCUACCCUUAACCGGGUCGGAGCUGCUAGCUGGAUCUUUUACUUUGAAGAAAUUGGAGUGUUUAAAGCAGGCUUACGCCAGAACAUAUUAGCAUGGAAUAAUAAUUUAGGACUUUUGUUCUAUUUUGUUGGUUUCUAGGACGAAAGUAAUGAUUGAUAGGGAUAGUUGGGGGUGCUAGUAUUCGGCGGCCAGAGGUGAAACUCUUUGAUCCGCUGAAGACUAACUUAUGCGAAAGCAUUCACCAAGGAUGUCUUCAUCA
RNAcentral lists this ribosomal RNA (396 nucleotides) under Cercozoa sp. RNAcentral's name for it is "partial small subunit ribosomal RNA". It matches the Rfam family "Eukaryotic small subunit ribosomal RNA", at positions 582 to 975 of the family's 1831-position model. The record is from RNAcentral. Lineage: Eukaryota; Cercozoa.